RNAcentral lists this ribosomal RNA (501 nucleotides) under uncultured bacterium. RNAcentral's name for it is "bacterial SSU rRNA". It matches the Rfam family "Bacterial small subunit ribosomal RNA", at positions 28 to 524 of the family's 1533-position model. The record is from RNAcentral.
GAUGAACGCUAGCGGGAGGCUUAACACAUGCAAGUCGAGGGGCAGCACGAUGUAGCAAUACGUUGGUGGCGACCGGCGCACGGGUGAGUAACACGUAUGCAACCUACCCUGUACAGGGGGAUAACCCGGAGAAAUUCGGACUAAUAUCCCAUAAUGAUAUUUGAGGGCAUCCUUGGAUAUUUAAAGCUCAGGCGGUACGGGAUGGGCAUGCGGAACAUUAGCUAGUUGGGAGGGUAACGGCCUACCAAGGCAACGAUGUUUAGGGGACCUGAGAGGGUGAUCCCCCACACUGGUACUGAGACACGGACCAGACUCCUACGGGAGGCAGCAGUGAGGAAUAUUGGUCAAUGGGCGCAAGCCUGAACCAGCCAUCCCGCGUGCAGGAAGACGGCCCUAUGGGUUGUAAACUGCUUUUCCAGGGGGAGAAUUUUCUGUCGUGACAGGAAUUGACGGUACCCUGGGAAUAAGCAUCGGCUAACUCCGUGCCAGCAGCCGCGUAAU